CUUGGCGGCAAUAGCGCGGUGGUCCCACCUGACCCCAUGCCGAACUCAGAAGUGAAACGCCGUAGCGCCGAUGGUAGUGAUGCCGAACUCAGAAGUGAAACGCCGUAGCGCCGAUGGUAGUGUGGGGUCUCCCCAUGCGAGAGUAGGACACUGCCAAGC
This 159-nucleotide ribosomal RNA is filed under the name Serratia marcescens. Lineage: Bacteria; Pseudomonadati; Pseudomonadota; Gammaproteobacteria; Enterobacterales; Yersiniaceae. The record is from RNAcentral.